GCCCAGACUCCUACGGGAGGCAGCAGUGGGGAAUAUUGCACAAUGGGGGAAACCCUGAUGCAGCGACGCCGCGUGAGCGAUGAAGUAUUUCGGUAUGUAAAGCUCUAUCAGCAGGGAAGAAGAUGACGGUACCUGACUAAGAAGCCCCGGCUAACUACGUGCCAGCAGCCGCGGUAAUACGUAGGGGGCAAGCGUUAUCCGGAUUUACUGGGUGUAAAGGGAGCGUAGACGGCGAUGCAAGCCAGAUGUGAAAGCCCGGGGCUCAACCCCGGGACUGCAUUUGGAACUGUGUGGCUGGAGUGUCGGAGAGGCAGGCGGAAUUCCUAGUGUAGCGGUGAAAUGCGUAGAUAUUAGGAGGAACACCAGUGGCGAAGGCGGCCUGCUGGACGAUGACUGACGUUGAGGCUCGAAAGCGUGGGGAGCAAACAGGAUUAGAUACCCGAGUAAC
This 448-nucleotide ribosomal RNA is filed under the name uncultured bacterium. RNAcentral describes it as "bacterial SSU rRNA". It matches the Rfam family "Bacterial small subunit ribosomal RNA", at positions 329 to 794 of the family's 1533-position model. The record is from RNAcentral.